AUUGAACGCUGGCGGCAUGCUUUACACAUGCAAGUCGAACGGCAACGAGGAGAAGCUUGCUUCUCUGUCGGCGAGUGGCGAACGGGUGAGUAUAGCAUCGGAACGGGCCAAGUAGUGGGGGAUAACCAAACGAAAGUUUGGCUAAUACCGCGUAAGCGCCAAGGAGGAAAGUAGGGGACCUAAAUAAGGCCUUACGCUAUUUGAGCGGCCGAUGUCGGAUUAGCUAGUUGGUGGGGUAAUGGCCCACCAAGGCAAUGAUCCGUAGCGGGUCUGAGAGGACGAUCCGCCACACUGGGACUGAGACACGGCCCAGACUCCUACGGGAGGCAGCAGUGGGGAAUUUUGGACAAUGGGGGAAACCCUGAUCCAGCCAUGCCGCGUGUAUGAAGAAGGCCUUAGGGUUGUAAAGUACUUUUGUUAGGGAAGAAAAGCUAGUUUUUAAUACAAAUUAGUGAUGACGGUACCUAAAGAAUAAGCACCGGCUAACUACGUG
This 493-nucleotide ribosomal RNA is filed under the name uncultured bacterium. Its description in RNAcentral is "partial 16S ribosomal RNA". It matches the Rfam family "Bacterial small subunit ribosomal RNA", at positions 30 to 507 of the family's 1533-position model. The record is from RNAcentral.